This 225-nucleotide ribosomal RNA is filed under the name uncultured bacterium. Its description in RNAcentral is "partial 16S ribosomal RNA". It matches the Rfam family "Bacterial small subunit ribosomal RNA", at positions 109 to 334 of the family's 1533-position model. The record is from RNAcentral.
AGUAACACGUAUCCAACCUGCCGUCUACUCUUGGACAGCCUUCUGAAAGGAAGAUUAAUACAAGAUGGCAUCAUGAGUUCACAUGUUCACAUGAUUAAAGGUAUUCCGGUAGACGAUGGGGAUGCGUUCCAUUAGAUAGUAGGCGGGGUAACGGCCCACCUAGGCGACGAUCAGUAGCCGGACUGAGAGGUUGACCGGCCACAUUGGGACUGAGACACGGUCCAA